Tribolium castaneum (red flour beetle) is the source of this 1268-nucleotide long non-coding RNA. RefSeq lists it as uncharacterized. The record is from RefSeq and is a predicted model, not a curated record. NCBI's taxonomy places the organism in Eukaryota, Metazoa, Arthropoda, Insecta, Coleoptera, Tenebrionidae. The transcript is spliced from 2 exons.
UAUCACCGUGACAGACGGUAUGAUCCCCGUCAUUAGUCUUUGGUAUUAAUUGCGUUAGUGACCCUGACCGAAGUUAAAUAAUCACGAAAUCAAGGCCGAUAAAAGGCAGAAAUAAUUCCAUGAGAAAUUAGUAGAUGAGCGUAAAUGCCUGGCAACACUGAACCGCUCGAAACAAUGGCGUAUAGUAACAGCGAUAGUAAAGACUGAAAUUUACUACAAGAGCAUUCCUGCAGCUCAAUCGUUACACGGACCCAGCUACUGUGCAACAGUCCAAUCACGCAGUCGCCACAAACGACGUCGUGUUCUGUUACGUAAAUCCGAGCUUUUCGCUGGUCGAUUGUAGAGUUUAACUCGAAAUAGAACCGAGGAAGGAAUAUGCAAAUUGGUUUAAUUUUUUAGCCAUGUUUCGGCAGGAACGCGCUUUCAGCAGGAAGAAAGCUCGGGUUUGGAAGCCGGUUUUUCCCCUGGCGGUAUUUUUUCGUAAUGAUGUAAAGUCGAGUGGGAGCUAGCAUGUUUAUAAACAAGUUGUAUACAUUGUGAGUGCAGUGGGAGAGAAAGAGAUCGGGCGACAAAGGACAAGAAGAACCAAUAAGAGAGCGCUUGGCAACAAGGCUAGACCGCACUUUUCGAUACUUUUGGUCCCACAAACCGGCUCAGCUAGGCCUACAUUCCUUAGGACGCUUCCUGCUGAAGACGCAAACAGGUGGAUCUAGUGCUAACCUUAUGGCUUGCAGAGAUGGCUCGAGAAAGCACGGGACGGUGCUCCAUGUGCGAGGAAAUCCGAGAUGGCACUCAACUGCAGGACAUCGCAGGACGCACUCACCACACCACCAGCUGAUUGCGUAGCCAAAUAGGAACGGACUGCCGUCACACCUUCGCGUUACCGAGAAACUGAAGUGAAACGAAACGCUGAAGCUGAUUUCGAACUGGCGGCUGGCGGUGACGGUGGUGGUGGUGGCAGAGAAUGAAACCUGCAACGUCCUGCUCUAGCUCGUGCUCACGCAGAUGCUGCCCACUCUCUCGCACUUCUGAUAAUCGAACCAAGCCGUCAAUUCUUAGGGGGUGAUUCUUUAUGCUUGGAAAAUAGACAACGACACUACGAUACGACCAAACCUCACCCAAUUGUCUUUAUUAAAUCAUCGAUCCACAAUUCUUCACGUAUGAAAGCACCCCAACUUAAAUCUUCAAAAGAUUUCACUCGCAGCUUUGCCUCUGACAGCAACUUUGUAAUAAAGCUUUCAAUAAAAAUAAAAAGCUUCACUAUUCCA